RNAcentral lists this ribosomal RNA (200 nucleotides) under uncultured bacterium. RNAcentral's name for it is "partial 16S ribosomal RNA". It matches the Rfam family "Bacterial small subunit ribosomal RNA", at positions 29 to 258 of the family's 1533-position model. The record is from RNAcentral.
AACGAACGCUGGCGGCAGGCUUAACACAUGCAAGUCGAGCGCGUAGCAAUACGAGCGGCAGACGGGUGAGUAACGCGUGGGAAUCUACCCUUGACUACGGAAUAACGCAGGGAAACUUGUGCUAAUACCGUAUGUGUCCUUCGGGAGAAAGAUUUAUCGGUCAAGGAUGAGCCCGCGUUGGAUUAGCUAGUUGGUGGGGU